GGGAUUUAGCUCAGUGGUAGAGCGCUUACCUAGGAAGCGCAAGGCCCUGGGUUCGGUCCCCAGCUCUGAAAAAAAAAAAAGAACCAAAAAAAAAAAAAAAAAAGAAGAGAAAGCAGAAAUCAUUGGUCUUUAAUAUCUAACCAGACCCUCUGUCACCAAUCCCCCAGCUCCUAGGGACCAAACUGCCAGCCAAAGGAUAUACAAGGAUGGGUCUAUGGUUCUAGGUCACUGUGUAGAAGAGGAGUGACUUAAGUGGCAUCCAUGUGGUGGGAGGCCAUUGACUAUGCUGAGGCCUGUUGCCCCACCAAAAGGAGGUCCUAGAGGUGUGAGGUGGGAAUGGGUAUGUGUGGGUGGGGGAUACUGUCAUAUAGGUAAAGCUGAGCAGAAAUGGGAUGUAAGAUUUGAUGAGGGGAGUCUGGAAACUGGGACAACAUUGGAAAUAUAAAUAAAUAAAAUAACCAAUUAAUAAAAUAUACCCACAAAUAAAAUAAAAAGCAAAAAGGUAAAAGAAUAAUUACACCAAAAUAAAACAAAAGAAAUCCCUGUAGUGGAUUGGCCUAAUUCUUCUUGUGUUUAAUGCUAAUUUGUGGAACUCAAGACUUGCAAAUCCCCAAAAGCUGACCCUGCUCCCAGUUAACUGUGAUUAUGAAGAAGCCAACAACCAACAGGUGCACAGCAGAGAGAUGGGGGAGGUGAGUUUUGAGGGCUUUGCUAGAGAGGAUCAUGAGGAGGGAAGAAGGAAGAAGAAGCUGCCAUAGAAUAAAGGAAGAAUGUGUGAUGGAGAGGAGAGAGGAAGAGGACAGCAGCCAUGGUUAAGGGAGAGGAGCGCCUGGUCCUGAGGGCUGUCCAAGUGCAACAAAGAGCAGCCAAGAUGCUACACAGUCAGUAAGAGUUGAGCGUUAUUGUUUGGAAAGUAGAUCUGAUACCAUGGAGGGCAGGCAGCUGCCUAGCUACUGUGCUGACUAAUGCACACUAAAAAUAAAUUUAACACAAUAUGUAUAACCGGUAAGACAGCUCUGUAGAGGAUCCUAAAAGGAAUACUUUAGUUUGAAGGGAAGGAUAAAAUACUAGAGAAAACAGGAAAUAAUUUAAUAAAACUACGACAGUCAAUCAAAAGAAGCCAAUAAAAACCACAAAAAUUAACAAAAUGACAAAAUUUAAUACAUAGGUUUAAAUAAUAUUUGCACGUCACUAAACUCAAUUCCCCAGUAAACAGACAUUAUUUAGCCAGAAACAGGAUCACCAUCAUGAGAGAUGUAGAGGAUAUACUAGGGAAACAGACCUAAGACACAGGUCCCUAUAGCAAUUCUGUGCAGUUUCUCUGUCAAUAAAAACCAGCAAGAUCUAGAGUUAAAUGUCUGUGUUAGUGCUGACCUACACCACCAGACAUAUAUUUUCUUUUAAGUAAAUAACAAAUCUUGGGGCUUACACUGUAAUCAAAUAUCCUGAAACAUGAGUUUGCAGUGUUCCCUACAUUUUUUUAAAUCAAGUACUUUGACUACCAUUUUGUUUCUUUCUAACCAUGUCUGAGUGCAUCAUCAAGGGAAUCCCAAGGGAAAUCAGAAAUGGGUUCUUGAAGCUGUUGCACAGGGACAACAUAGACCUAAGUACCACAGAGGAAACCUUGAUUCUUAUCACAAGGGACCAUUUCACCAUCCCUCUUGUCACAUAACUUAUGGCAAGAUGUCACCUCUCCUGACCUUAGCUUCUUCUCCUAAAUGCUGCUGAAGGGAAGAUUUGGUGUCAAGGGGUCUGGAUUCAAACCACACCAACACUGAAUUCAUGUAAAUAGGUGUAGUUCAUUGAAUGCACACACCAAUACAGUUCAACCAGAGCAACAGCUCACAACUGUGUACUGGACAUUGCUAUGGCCCAGCUCAUUGCAAGAUCCACAUGGGCUCAUGCACAAGUGCUGGAAAUACUGCUGUCUAUGGGCCCUGACUCGGGUCAUUUUACACAUAAUUGUUCCUAUUUUCCUUGAAUCUUAUGGGUCCUAUGGGAAGCUUAUAGUUGGGGAACUUGUUAAGAUUAACAAACCUCAUAAUAUACAGAACAUAACAGGGUAUGUGACCAGCACCACACAGUUCAGUGUCAGAUUUUUUUGUUUUGUGUUAGCUUGUUUUCAGCAUCCAUGAUGUGGAGGCGUAUUACAGCACAAUAGGAAAGAGCUGGCUGCUGUGUAACAAAUUUGCCGCUGUUAAGUGCCCAUUCAACAUCACUUGGUCCCUGAAGAGGAACUCAAGGUCUGCCCCCCUGCUGCCUGUGAGCCAGGAGUAGGCACAGAAAGGCAUGGCCACAGCGCUGGUUUCCAAUUCCUCAGUAAUGCUGGAUUUCCACUAACGUACGUGGAUACACAAAUACAGUGUGGUAAGUUACAAUACACACUAAUCAUUUCUUACAUAGGGCAGCAGUUGAUUGACUACAACUAAUUCCAUUUAAAAGUGAAAGAAACCUGGCUCUUGUGGAAAUAUACAAAGAAAUAUCUACGAUGCUGGGGAAUGAAUUCUGCCAUGGACUGAACUCAUAAUGGGGGGGGGGUUGGAAUAAAGAUGCAUGGUUAAAUAGCCCACCAGGUUCACAUUGUGUCAGCUUGAUUUAAUCUAAGGACAAAAAGUGGAGUAUCUCUGAUGGCUUUCUUUUUAACCCUUGAAAGGAUCCCUGGGGACUGGCCUCAGUACUUCAUAUUUCUUGCUGGGGCAACAAUGCUCAAGGAAGCUUGAGACUGUCAUAGGCACAGUAUUAUGCUAGAUAUACAGAGUAGAUAAUACUAAGAUGUUCAGAUGGUGAUAUCCAUUUAUAUAUACUCUUAAUGUGCACCUAAGGAAAGAGAGAUCAAGGUCCUUACAAUAGAAAGAUCAGUUCCAUUUUUUUCUACCAUUCCAAACUGAACGACUGGUAGGGAGAGAAUGGUAAAUAAUUGAGAAUUCAUAGAUGAUGCUUUGAAUGAAGAGUGGGUUUCUGCGCUGGUUUUAGACAGGGUCUCAAGUAUCACAUGUUGCCCUCUACCUGGUUGGCCAGGUUCUCUUUGAGCUCAGAUAAACCUCCUUCCACUUUCCAAUACAUAGGCUUACAAGAGUGGCCUCCAAGGACUGUGAGGACAGCAUUAGCCUUUGACAGUUGAGGUGUGCAACCCACAACUAUAGUUUUAGCCACGAUUUUCCAUGUCUACCAGCUCUUUCAGAUUGUUGCUGUUAUAUGCCUGACAAUCAAGGACGCAGAAAAAUAACCUGAUAGAGAACAAGGGCAUGGUUAUCACAUCCUUGCCUCUUCUGUAUGUUCUGGAUUAGGUUUGUUAAAAUUCCAAUAUUGCAAAAAGCUUUAUAUAGGGCCCAUCUCAUUAAGGGUCUCUGUGCACUGUUCUAUCUAAAAUGGCCCAAUCAGAACUGACCACCAGAUAACACUUCCUGCAAUCUUCAUAUGAGAGAGAAGCUUGAGCUUUUUGUUUUGAUUUUUUCUUUUCUCUUUCUUUCUUAUUUUUUGCUAUAUAAGUUGAGAGAAAGAGAGUUGGGGCCAUGAAUUUGCUCCCAAAAUUUGAACUAUGGAUGUGAUCAAUCAGUGUUAGUGUGUGCAUUCUAUAAAGUAUUCAUUCUUUACUAUGAUAGAUGCUUCUGUGUUUGGUGGGGUGGCCAUUUCCCAGUGUACAGGUGCUGGGACCUUGCUCUAUCCACUUAAUGAUGUUUAUAGCCUCAUUUUAGUUGUUUAUGUGCACCCCCUAUGUCUCUUGACUAUUUUAUUUUUCUGAUAGAAGCUCAUGGUACAUCUUACUCAGGCCUCUGAGCAGUGCUCCUUUGGCGACAUUGGUGCAGAGAGGAGAACCCCACAAGCAGCAUGAGGUUCCGUUCACUGGUGGCUCCAAUAUUGCACUUUCCUCUGCCAACUGGUCUCCACACUUUUCCUAGCACCAUAAAGACUUCAACUCUUUCUCCUAGGAAUUUAUUGGCAAUUGUCAAUUGCUAAGCACAUGACUUCAUGAGUGUUCCCCUAAUACACACCCAUGUUAUAACCCACCAUGCAGACUAUUUCUUGAUGUGAUAUAAAGCACCUGUACAUAAUGAGUCAAGAGAACUUUUGACUGCAUAUUCAAGCUGGUGUGAAAUCUCAGGAAGUUUUAAUGGCUAACAUUGGUGAAUGAGGAUGAUUUGCGUUAGUGAGACAUUUUUGGGCAAGAUUUGACAGGAAACAUUCAUUUAGAUGCAUAGGAAUUACUAAGGUUUUUUUAUAAUCAAGCCUUGAGGAAAAUUUGGCUUUAGAAGGAGGAGAUUCCCAGUGGUUCUGCCCUGGGAAAGCCUCCUGGAAAGGGCCCCUCAGCUUAUGCUCAGUACAGGGAGAACAUUAGCAGGGGGGCAAAGUCUGCUCCCCAUGACAUCUGCUGUCCCUUCUUGGACAUUCUAUUAUCUCCUAGAGAGUUCUGGCAUCCUCUGUGAUGUCACCAGUGUUGUAGUGACGACCAGUGCCCUAGUUUCUCUCAGUCUGAGUCUGGCAGUUACAAGCUAAGACAUGUUUUCCCGUCUUCGCAAGCGUUUUGGGAGGGGGAACGUCGAUUCUGGAGAGACUAGAGUGAAGGAGUCUGGCCUUUCGUCUCAAAGUAAUGAUGGACAAAGACAGCACUUCUGGGGAAUGUCAAGUUCACUUGUGUUCUUCGACCUACAGACCCUGGGAGAGAAACAUCUUCCCCUGAAACUGCCCUAAGCGAGAAGCAGGCCAAGAAGGAAAAGGAGAGGCUGAUUAAAGAGCUGCAGCUCAUUACCGAGGAGAGAAAUGACCUGAGAGCUCGCCUGAGGUUCCUUACAGAGAGAUCCAAGAACAACAGGUAUGAAUCACUCCAAAUGCUCUUGUUUCAUUCCUGGGUCUGCAAGGUCACCUUCAUCUUAUCCUAUUAAGGUUUUGGGUUCUAGAAAGCUGUGCCUCCCUAACCACCCUGUGCUAAACCUCACCUCCUAUAUAGAGGAGAUUCAGAACCUGACCCUUCCUGAGGAGCAAGAUGGAAAAUGGACUCAUCUGCUUCCAUUUAUUGAAAAGCAGAACUUGUGGUCUGAAUGAAGAAUUCAGGGACAAAGUCAGGGAGAGUGAGUGUCUAGUGUGCAUUUGCAAAGCCCUUGACAGCUGGUGGCUUUGCAAGAUUGUAAUUGCAGUGAGUUUAUGGUGAGUCUCUGUACUUGCUAGGCAGGGGACUGAGUGCUGGAAGAUCCAGGCAGCAGCCUGAG
Non-coding RNA from Rattus norvegicus (Norway rat), 5204 nucleotides. The record is from RefSeq and is a predicted model, not a curated record. NCBI's taxonomy places the organism in Eukaryota, Metazoa, Chordata, Mammalia, Rodentia, Muridae.